This 480-nucleotide ribosomal RNA is filed under the name uncultured bacterium. RNAcentral describes it as "partial 16S ribosomal RNA". It matches the Rfam family "Bacterial small subunit ribosomal RNA", at positions 28 to 523 of the family's 1533-position model. The record is from RNAcentral.
GACGAACGCUGGCGGCGUGCUUAACACAUGCAAGUCGAGCGGUAAGGCUCCUUCGGGAGUACACGAGCGGCGAACGGGUGAGUAACACGUGAGCAAACUGCCCUUCUCAUCGGAAUAACCAUUGGAAACGAUGGCUAAUGCCGAAUACGACUUCCUUUCGCAUGUCAGGAAGUGGAAAGCUCCGGCGGAGAAGGAUGAGCUCGCGGCCUAUCAGCUUGUUGGUGGGGUAAUGGCUCACCAAGGCGACGACGGGUAGCCGGCCUGAGAGGGUGACCGGCCACACUGGGACUGAGACACGGCCCAGACUCCUACGGGAGGCAGCAGUGGGGAAUAUUGGACAAUGGGCGAAAGCCUGAUCCAGCAACGCCACGUGAGGGAUGACGGCCUUCGGGUUGUAAACCUCUUUCAGCAGGGACGAAGCGAAAGUGACGGUACCUGCAAAAGAAGGACCGGCCAACUACGUGCCAGCCGCCGCCGUAA